Molecule: ribosomal RNA, 1445 nt
Filed under: Alcaligenes faecalis
Lineage: Bacteria; Pseudomonadati; Pseudomonadota; Betaproteobacteria; Burkholderiales; Alcaligenaceae
Description: bacterial SSU rRNA
Rfam family: Bacterial small subunit ribosomal RNA
Source: RNAcentral
GGGCAACGUAUUGCAUUAACAUGCAAGUCGAACCAGCAGUCAACGAGAGAGCUUGCUCUCUUGGCGGCGAGUGGCGGACGGGUGAGUAAUAUAUCGGAACGUGCCCAGUAGCGGGGGAUAACUACUCGAAAGAGUGGCUAAUACCGCAUACGCCCUACGGGGGAAAGGGGGGGAUCGCAAGACCUCUCACUAUUGGAGCGGCCGAUAUCGGAUUAGCUAGUUGGUGGGGUAAAGGCUCACCAAGGCAACGAUCCGUAGCUGGUUUGAGAGGACGACCAGCCACACUGGGACUGAGACACGGCCCAGACUCCUACGGGAGGCAGCAGUGGGGAAUUUUGGACAAUGGGGGAAACCCUGAUCCAGCCAUCCCGCGUGUAUGAUGAAGGCCUUCGGGUUGUAAAGUACUUUUGGCAGAGAAGAAAAGGUAUCCCCUAAUACGGGAUGCUGCUGACGGUAUCUGCAGAAUAAGCACCGGCUAACUACGUGCCAGCAGCCGCGGUAAUACGUAGGGUGCAAGCGUUAAUCGGAAUUACUGGGCGUAAAGCGUGUGUAGGCGGUUCGGAAAGAAAGAUGUGAAAUCCCAGGGCUCAACCUUGGAACUGCAUUUUUAACUGCCGAGCUAGAGUAUGUCAGAGGGGGGUAGAAUUCCACGUGUAGCAGUGAAAUGCGUAGAUAUGUGGAGGAAUACCGAUGGCGAAGGCAGCCCCCUGGGAUAAUACUGACGCUCAGACACGAAAGCGUGGGGAGCAAACAGGAUUAGAUACCCUGGUAGUCCACGCCCUAAACGAUGUCAACUAGCUGUUGGGGCCGUUAGGCCUUAGUAGCGCAGCUAACGCGUGAAGUUGACCGCCUGGGGAGUACGGUCGCAAGAUUAAAACUCAAAGGAAUUGACGGGGACCCGCACAAGCGGUGGAUGAUGUGGAUUAAUUCGAUGCAACGCGAAAAACCUUACCUACCCUUGACAUGUCUGGAAAGCCGAAGAGAUUUGGCCGUGCUCGCAAGAGAACCGGAACACAGGUGCUGCAUGGCUGUCGUCAGCUCGUGUCGUGAGAUGUUGGGUUAAGUCCCGCAACGAGCGCAACCCUUGUCAUUAGUUGCUACGCAAGAGCACUCUAAUGAGACUGCCGGUGACAAACCGGAGGAAGGUGGGGAUGACGUCAAGUCCUCAUGGCCCUUAUGGGUAGGGCUUCACACGUCAUACAAUGGUCGGGACAGAGGGUCGCCAACCCGCGAGGGGGAGCCAAUCUCAGAAACCCGAUCGUAGUCCGGAUCGCAGUCUGCAACUCGACUGCGUGAAGUCGGAAUCGCUAGUAAUCGCGGAUCAGAAUGUCGCGGUGAAUACGUUCCCGGGUCUUGUACACACCGCCCGUCACACCAUGGGAGUGGGUUUCACCAGAAGUAGGUAGCCUAACCGCAAGGAGGGCGCUACACAGAGAGGAUCGGGC